Acipenser ruthenus (sterlet) is the source of this 1619-nucleotide long non-coding RNA. RefSeq lists it as uncharacterized. The record is from RefSeq and is a predicted model, not a curated record. The transcript has 3 exons. NCBI's taxonomy places the organism in Eukaryota, Metazoa, Chordata, Actinopteri, Acipenseriformes, Acipenseridae.
AAACCAGAGGCUCAGGAUGAAUGAUAAGAAAACUGAAUUUAAUUUAUUUUAAAAACAUGACAUUAUUCAUUUUAAAACCAGUUGUGAAGCUUUUUUGAGCGUGCUGAAAGUGUUUCCUAAUAAAGACUUAAAGAAACUGAACCAAUGCAUUCAAGCGUGAGAUGAGUUGUUAACAAGGAAACUGGAGGAACACAAGGCUACUUACUGUAUGUCUGAGAUAUGGGACCUGAUGGACGUCCUGCUCAGAGUCCAGUGCAGCCCCAUGGAGAGCCGAUGCCUGGAGGAGGCUGGUUUCAGUGAUGAUCACAUUCUGAUGACCGCAGCCGACACCUUCGGUGCUGCAGUGGAAACCACUUUUUAGCUUCUGAAGAGGACUUUGACACGAAAUGCACUUUAUAACUCCAGGUAGUAUUGAAAGAAAGGCCUUGUGCAAUUUACUAUGAGCAGAAAGGCUAUUGUUUUGUUUUCCUCUAUUUCCUCAGUAUCAGAGAACAUUCGUAAGGUAUGGUUGUGAACAUGAGGUCCAAUCACCAUGACCCCCAAGAGUGGGAAGAUCCCGACGGGUUUAAUCCAGGUGAAUAUCAGAAGAUGCUCUGUGUGCAGCUCGGAGAUCCCUAUUCUGUAUCAGAGGUUUAUCACAUCACAGUGUAGACAUGCAACAUUAAUGAAACCAUACCAAAUACAGCAUCUCUAAGCUACCAAUCCAAGCUCUAACCACUGUGGAGCAGGUGUUCUCAAACUGGGAGCCACAGAGUCUGCAGUUAUUGUAUAUAGAGAUUGUAUAUAGAGAUAGAGAUUGUAUUUUUAGAUUUCUAUUCACUCAAGGGGGAGUGGUAAAUCUGUAAAACAGUUUUUAUUUACACUCUUUGGACAGAAAACUGAUGGAUUUAAACAAAAAAAAUGAACAAAGGUUUUCAUGAUAUUUCAGUAUCAUAAAAGACAUCAUUUAAAUAAUUAAGGUCUAUAUAAAUAACUGUCAUUUGGAGAUCCAAAGGUACAUGCAAGCCCCCCCUCCCCCCUCCUCCCUACUAUUGGGUGAUUUAAUUAAUGACAGUAACGUGCUAGGAAACUCCAAAUUCUAAUUUUGUGGAUGAAGCAGAUUGAUUUUGCACCUAUGUCUCUCUUGAAAGCAGUUUUUGGACAGCAAAGGGCAGCAUUUCUCUCCCUCAGCUUUCAUCCCAUUCAGAGCAGGCCCCCCGGGUCUGUAUUGGGGAGUCCCUGGCUAAGCUGGACCUUUUGUGGUGUUCCUUGAUGUGAUGUGUCUGUGCUGUGACAUUGACAGGUGGCUUACGAGCAUGAAUGUAAUGUUUUGAGCAACCUCCAGCACUGGCAUUGUCGCAUUUUAUUUUAUUUAGUUAACGCACUCUAUUUUAGCAAGUUCUUUAACCGUGUUAUUUACGCAUUUUAAAAUAAAUGACUGUUAAAGAUGUUUACUUUUAAUAUAAAAAAACAUCAGUGCAUCUUAAUCCAGUACUGAAUUUUGUAAUGUGUUGCACCACAAAACCACUUUAAAUUGCAUAGAAAAGUAUAGAUUUCCAAUUAUUUACAGGUAGUUCCAUAUUCCUUUUCCGAUUUGAAUUUAUACCUGCACUCAGUUUUACAAACGUACCGUCUAGAUU